Molecule: ribosomal RNA, 1343 nt
Filed under: uncultured bacterium
Lineage: Bacteria
Description: 16S ribosomal RNA
Rfam family: Bacterial small subunit ribosomal RNA
Source: RNAcentral
GACGAACGCUGGCGGCGUGCUUAACACAUGCAAGUCGAACGGAAAGGCCCUGCUUUUGUGGGGUGCUCGAGUGGCGAACGGGUGAGUAACACGUGAGUAACCUGCCCUUGACUUUGGGAUAACUUCAGGAAACUGGGGCUAAUACCGGAUAGGAGCUCCUGCUGCAUGGUGGGGGUUGGAAAGUUUCGGCGGUUGGGGAUGGACUCGCGGCUUAUCAGCUUGUUGGUGGGGUAGUGGCUUACCAAGGCUUUGACGGGUAGCCGGCCUGAGAGGGUGACCAGCCACAUUGGGACUGAGAUACGGCCCAGACUCCUACGGGAGGCAGCGGUGGGGAAUAUUGCACAAUGGGCGGAAGCCUGAUGCAGCAACGCCGCGUGCGGGAUGACGGCCUUCGGGUUGUAAACCGCUUUCGCCUGUGACGAAGCGUGAGUGACGGUAAUGGGUAAAGAAGCACCGGCUAACUACGUGCCAGCAGCCGCGGUGAUACGUAGGGUGCGAGCGUUGUCCGGAUUUAUUGGGCGUAAAGGGCUCGUAGGUGGUUGAUCGCGUCGGAAGUGUAAUCUUGGGGCUUAACCCUGAGCGUGCUUUCGAUACGGGUUGACUUGAGGAAGGUAGGGGAGAAUGGAAUUCCUGGUGGAGCGGUGGAAUGCGCAGAUAUCAGGAGGAACACCAGUGGCGAAGGCGGUUCUCUGGGCCUUUCCUGACGCUGAGGAGCGAAAGCGUGGGGAGCGAACAGGCUUAGAUACCCUGGUAGUCCACGCUGUAAACGGUGGGUACUAGGUGUGGGGUCCAUUCCACGGGUUCCGUGCCGUAGCUAACGCUUUAAGUACCCCGCCUGGGGAGUACGGCCGCAAGGCUAAAACUCAAAGGAAUUGACGGGGCCCCGCACAAGCGGCGGAGCAUGCGGAUUAAUUCGAUGCAACGCGUAGAACCUUACCUGGGUUUGACAUGGAUCGGGAGUGCUCAGAGAUGGGUGUGCCUCUUUUGGGGUCGGUUCACAGGUGGUGCAUGCCUGUCGUCAGCUCGUGUCGUGAGAUGUUGGGUUAAGUCCCGCAACGAGCGCAACCCUUGUUCACUGUUGCCAGCACGUUAUGGUGGGGACUCAGUGGAGACCGCCGGGGUCAACUCGGAGGAAGGUGGGGAUGACGUCAAGUCCUCAUGCCCCUUAUGUCCAGGGCUUCACGCAUGCUACAAUGGCUGGUACAGAGAGUGGCGAGCCUGUGAGGGUGAGCGAAUCUCGGAAAGCCGGUCUCAGUUCGGAUUGGGGUCUGCAACUCGACCUCAUGAAGUCGGAGUCGCUAGUAAUCGCAGAUCAGCAACGCUGCGGUGAAUACGUUCCCGGG